GAUGAAGAACGCAGCGAAAUGCGAUAAGUAGUGUGAAUUGCAGAAUUCAGUGAAUCAUCGAAUCUUUGAACGCACAUUGCGCCCCUCGGUAUUCCGUGGGGCAUGCCUGUUCGAGCGUCAUCUACACCCUCAAGCUCUGCUUGGUGAUGGGCGUCUGUCCCGCCUCGGCGCGCGGACUCGCCCCAAACGCAUUGGCAGCGGUCCUCGCCCCCUCUCGCGCAGCACAUUGCGCUUCUCGAGGGCCCGGCGGCCCGCGUCCAGCAAGCGACCACACCGUCUUUGACCUCGGAUCAGGUAGGGAUACCCGCUGAACUUAAGCAUAUCAAUAAGCGGAGGA
RNAcentral lists this unclassified non-coding RNA (337 nucleotides) under soil metagenome. Its description in RNAcentral is "partial contains 5.8S ribosomal RNA, internal transcribed spacer 2, and large subunit ribosomal RNA". The stretch from base 1 to 120 matches the Rfam family "5.8S ribosomal RNA", at positions 35 to 154 of the family's 154-position model. The record is from RNAcentral.